GAGAGCGAAAAAUGGAGUCCGAUUCCUUCUGAGUCCCUCUUCAGAUACCAGCUGCUGGACCCUAUCUUACAAACCAUAUGCCAGAGGCAGUCCAGGAAGAGCUUCAUGCCGUUGAAGUUGAGGAACAUCUCGCAGUUGUCGGGUGUCUCGUCUGUGAUAUUCCACAGUGCACUCCAGGAGAACUCCAUCACCUGGUCACACUGAAGACCAGGGCGUUGCACAGGUGCACGGCGAUGCGCUGGAUCGACUCGUCCUGCCGCGUGGGGUUGAGGAUGCUGAGCAGGAGCUCGUUGACACGGCGGUACUGGAACUCCAGCUCCUCGGGGAUGCUGAAGUUGCAGAGGGUCAGGCAGCAGUUCCGCUGGACCUGGGCCGGGACAGAGACAAGCGGAGCGGAGUCAGGGGUGGACUCGAGCUGGACUCGAGGGGCUCUUAAGAGGUAACACCAGACUGUUUUGUAAAAUGGCUGUAACCAGUUUACACUCCUACCAGUGGUGCAGGAGAGUUCUAGCUGCUUCAGAUCCUCAAUUUCUCUUUGCGAUGUUGGUCCAUGUUGUAGAGCACGAGGGACACCAGGCUGUCUUUCCACUGGGUGAGGAAGGCUGCGUCGCUCGUCUGAAUGCCUGAGAGGUCCAAGGUGGCCAGCGAGUUGAGCGGUCGCAGCAGGGACUCCACGGGGACCCC
Pteropus alecto (black flying fox) is the source of this 684-nucleotide long non-coding RNA. RefSeq lists it as uncharacterized. The transcript has 5 exons. NCBI's taxonomy places the organism in Eukaryota, Metazoa, Chordata, Mammalia, Chiroptera, Pteropodidae. The record is from RefSeq and is a predicted model, not a curated record.